This 1618-nucleotide ribosomal RNA is filed under the name Scytonema sp. 00557_00001. RNAcentral describes it as "bacterial SSU rRNA". The stretch from base 1 to 1164 matches the Rfam family "Bacterial small subunit ribosomal RNA", at positions 356 to 1533 of the family's 1533-position model. The record is from RNAcentral. Lineage: Bacteria; Bacillati; Cyanobacteriota; Cyanophyceae; Nostocales; Scytonemataceae.
GGGGAAUUUUCCGCAAUGGGCGAAAGCCUGACGGAGCAAUACCGCGUGAGGGAGGAAGGCUCUUGGGUUGUAAACCUCUUUUCUCAGGGAAUAAGCAAUGAAGGUACCUGAGGAAUCAGCAUCGGCUAACUCCGUGCCAGCAGCCGCGGUAAUACGGAGGAUGCAAGCGUUAUCCGGAAUGAUUGGGCGUAAAGCGUCCGCAGGUGGUUUUUCAAGUCUGCUGUCAAAGAGUCUGGCUCAACCAGAUAAAGGCAGUGGAAACUGAGAGACUAGAGUGUGGUAGGGGCAGAGGGAAUUCCUGGUGUAGCGGUGAAAUGCGUAGAGAUCAGGAAGAACACCGGUGGCGAAAGCGCUCUGCUGGACCAUAACUGACACUGAGGGACGAAAGCUAGGGGAGCGAAUGGGAUUAGAUACCCCAGUAGUCCUAGCCGUAAACGAUGGAUACUAGGCGUUGCCCGUAUCGACCCGGGCAGUGUCGUAGCCAACGCGUUAAGUAUCCCGCCUGGGGAGUACGCACGCAAGUGUGAAACUCAAAGGAAUUGACGGGGGCCCGCACAAGCGGUGGAGUAUGUGGUUUAAUUCGAUGCAACGCGAAGAACCUUACCAAGACUUGACAUGUCCGGAAUCUCUUGGAAACGAGAGAGUGCCUUCGGGAGCCGGAACACAGGUGGUGCAUGGCUGUCGUCAGCUCGUGUCGUGAGAUGUUGGGUUAAGUCCCGCAACGAGCGCAACCCUCGUUCUUAGUUGCCAGCACUUCGGGUGGGCACUCUAGGGAGACUGCCGGUGACAAACCGGAGGAAGGUGGGGAUGACGUCAAGUCAGCAUGCCCCUUACGUCUUGGGCGACACACGUACUACAAUGCUAUGGACAAAGGGCAGCAAGCUAGCAAUAGCAAGCAAAUCCCAGAAACCAUGGCUCAGUUCAGAUCGCAGGCUGCAACUCGCCUGCGUGAAGGAGGAAUCGCUAGUAAUUGCAGGUCAGCAUACUGCAGUGAAUUCGUUCCCGGGCCUUGUACACACCGCCCGUCACACCAUGGAAGCUGGUCACGCCCGAAGUCGUUACCCUAACCUUUCGAGGAGGGGGACGCCGAAGGUAGGACUGGUGACUGGGGUGAAGUCGUAACAAGGUAGCCGUACCGGAAGGUGUGGCUGGAUCACCUCCUUUUCAGGGAGACCCACUUUUGAGUUUGUGCUCAACAGUUUGCACUGAUGAGUGAAAAAUAAAACUCAAAAGCUAUCCCAAGGUCGGUCAUGAGUCAAGAUUGUAAGCUUUCAAACUAUUUUUGGUUCACAUUAACUUAUUACCUGAAAAGCACAAAUCAUAAUUAAGUCACAAACCAUAAUCAAGUUGUUACUCAUAAACAAAGUUUACAAUUGAUAACUUGAAGUAACUACGUAAAUAUACUGUGAUACUUAAUGUGGUUAAGGAGAUAUAAUUUCAGCAUCUUGUGAACAAAAGCAAGACUGCUGGUAUUUUUCCAGCAAAAGAACCUUGAAAACUGCAUAGAGACGCGAAAUUAGUCAGGUAGUUAACGAAAAACAGUUAACACUCCAAAGCAGCAAGAAUUGUUUGUAGUCAAGCAAGAAAAGGCGAAUGGUGGAUACCUAGGCACACAGAG